UACGAAGGGGGCUAGCGUUGCUCGGAAUCACUGGGCGUAAAGGGUGCGUAGGCGGGUCUUUUAAGUCAGGGGUGAAAUCCUGGAGCUCAACUCCAGAACUGCCUUUGAUACUGAGGAUCUUGAGUUCGGGAGAGGUGAGUGGAACUGCGAGUGUAGAGGUGAAAUUCGUAGAUAUUGGGAAGAACACCGGUGGCGAAGGCGGCCAACUGGACCACAACUGACGCUGAGGCGCGAAAGCGUGGGGAGCAAACAGG
This 254-nucleotide ribosomal RNA is filed under the name uncultured bacterium. Its description in RNAcentral is "partial 16S ribosomal RNA". It matches the Rfam family "Bacterial small subunit ribosomal RNA", at positions 524 to 776 of the family's 1533-position model. The record is from RNAcentral.